Molecule: ribosomal RNA, 427 nt
Filed under: uncultured Acinetobacter sp.
Lineage: Bacteria; Pseudomonadati; Pseudomonadota; Gammaproteobacteria; Moraxellales; Moraxellaceae
Description: bacterial SSU rRNA
Rfam family: Bacterial small subunit ribosomal RNA
Source: RNAcentral
GGGGAAUAUUGGACAAUGGGGGGAACCCUUAUCCAGCCAUGCCGAGUGUGUGAAGAAGGCAGUAUGGUUGGAAAGCACGUUAAGCGAGGUGGAGGACCUAUUUGUUAAUACUCAAGAUGAGUGGAGGUUAGUCGCAGAAUAAGCAGCGACUUACUCUGUGCCAGCAGCCGCGGUAAUACAGAGGGUGCGAGCGUUAAUCGGAUUUACUGGGCGUAAAGCGUGCGUAGGCGGCUUUUUAAGUCGGAUGUGAAAUCCCCGAGCUUAACUUGGGAAUUGCAUUCGAUACUGGGAAGCUAGAGUAUGGGAGAGGAUGGUAGAAUUCCAGGUGUAGCGGUGAAAUGCGUAGAGAUCUGGAGGAAUACCGAUGGCGAAGGCAGCCAUCUGGCCUAAUACUGACGCUGAGGUACGAAAGCAUGGGGAGCAAACA